GUUAGGAAUAUUGGACAAUGGGCGCAAGCCUGAUCCAGCCAUGCCGCGUGAGUGAUGAAGGCCUUCGGGUUGUAAAGCUCUUUAGCCGAUGAUUAUAAUGACUGUAGUCGGAAAAUAAGCCCCGGCUAACUUCGUGCCAGCAGCCGCGGUAAUACGAAGGGGGCGAGCGUUAUUCGGAAUCACUGGGCGUAAAGCGUGCGUAGGCUGUUUUGUAAGUCAGAAGUGAAAGCCCAGGGCUUAACCCUGGAAUUGCUUUUGAAACUACAAGACUCGAAUUCGGGAGAGGAUAGCGGAAUUGUCAGUGUAGCAGUGAAAUGCGUAGAUAUUGACAGGAACACCAGUGGCGCAAGCGGCUAUCUGGACCGAUAUUGACGCUGAGGCACGAAAGCGUGGGGAGCAAACAGGAUUAGAUACCCUUGUAGUCC
RNAcentral lists this ribosomal RNA (425 nucleotides) under uncultured bacterium. Its description in RNAcentral is "partial 16S ribosomal RNA". It matches the Rfam family "Bacterial small subunit ribosomal RNA", at positions 354 to 796 of the family's 1533-position model. The record is from RNAcentral.